AUACUUACCUGGCAGAGGAGAUAGCAUGAUCGUGAAGGUGAUUUUCCGAGGAUGGUUUCCAGCAACCAUUGCACUCCAGGUGUGCUGACCCCUGCAAUUUCCCCAAAUGCAGGAAACCUGACUGCAUUUC
RNAcentral lists this small nuclear RNA (130 nucleotides) under Salvator merianae (Argentine black and white tegu). RNAcentral's name for it is "U1 spliceosomal RNA (ENSSMRG00000012896.1)". It matches the Rfam family "U1 spliceosomal RNA". Rfam says of the family: U1 is a small nuclear RNA (snRNA) component of the spliceosome (involved in pre-mRNA splicing). Its 5' end forms complementary base pairs with the 5' splice junction, thus defining the 5' donor site of an intron. Lineage: Eukaryota; Metazoa; Chordata; Lepidosauria; Squamata; Teiidae. The record is from RNAcentral.